GGGAACUGAGAAUGGGGGCUGAAAGACAACCGCAAGAAGGGUGGAGGGGUGAGCUCCUGGAGCCCGAGCCCGGACGCGGCUGUCACCGCUUGCUCUGAGAGAAAAGAUGGAGCAGGGAGCUGCUUACCUUAGCAGAAACUUCUCAAUGGCACACCUGUUAAAAUUGUCACUGCUGAAACGUUAAGUGAUGAAAGUUACUUCAAGGACAAAUGGCCUGCUGACUAGUGCAACAAGCUACAGGAAGAGAUUUCCAAAAUGAGGAGCUCCUGGCUGGAAGCCACAGUGGGACAGGAGACGUUGAGGCAGGCGGCAUCCUUGGUCCAGCAGGUAGCCUCCAUGCUCUAAGAAAGCACACAGAGCCGGCCUCUGACCUGGAAGGCUCUGGAAGCUCUGGCACCAGGGAACAAAAGGAAGAUCAACAGGAGGAGAAAUUAAUUGUAGCAGUACAUUUUGGAGUCAAAAGGACAACGUCCUAGGGAGCUUGGGAGUAGAGGGACUUCCUGAGCAGAAAUGGGCAGGCUUUUCACCGUGGUUUUGCAGUAUUCUAUAUAAAAUUUACUUCAUAUGUAAAUUUAGUGACUGUUAACUAAUGAUCAUUUAACGGAUGAUAAUUCUAACAGGACAGAGUUCAUGGUGUUGUCCCUAACCUGUCAUUUUUCAGUUGCAUGUGAAAGAGGACUAGGAUGAUUUAUUACUAAUCAUUAUAAAGACCUAGCACUGGUUUGUGCUGAAGGGGCCAUAGGUUUAAGGGCUGAAUCCAUCUCACACUCAAUGAGGCCACAUAGGAACUCAGAUCCUCCCUGUUGGCCCAGAGUACAGUUACAAGGAACGAUCUUGUGUGUACAUGGGGUCCUUCAGUGGAGGACUGGCAGACAAGCCAGAUAGCUGUGCCAUGUUCAUGGGGCAGAGGAAGAUGUGUCUCCAAAAACUAAGCUAUUUAUGUUAGGUACCGCUUUGUAAACGGGCACCAGGGAAGUCCUUAACGCAUACAUUCCUAGCCACCUGCUGGCCUGGGUCUGCAUCUUGAUUCUUUCUGAUCCAUUCUGGAUCUUUUUCUUUUUUUUUAACAAACAUGAAAAUCACCUUUGUCUCUGUUUGUGUGGGAUGAGGACAUACAAUUUAGAUUCAGGACUGUGACAUGUCAUACUUCCUACAUUUCCCAAGGGAACGAGGAAACACAGGAUUUUCUAACACUGGCUAAAAAUGCAAAUUGCAAGGUUUAGAAGGACUGGUAUAGUCAGGUGUGGUGGCGCACGCCUAUGAUCCCAGCACUCGGGAAGCUGAAGCAGGAGGAUUGCCUUGAGUUUGAGGCCAGUUUGGGCUACAGAGUGAGUUCAAGGCCAGCCUGAGUUACAUAGAGACCCUGUCUCAAAACAAACAAACAAAAUAAUAGAAGGACUGGUAUAAACGUUAUCAUAGGCGAAUCUAAUUACAAUUGUUUUUAGAUUUCUAUUUACCACAUGAAUACCAAGGCUACCAUUUGCAGGUUACUGUCAGCUUUACACACACACACGUGUGGCAAGAACUGGUUUAUAUUAAAGAAAAUUAUAUCUAAUAAUAAGUCUCAAGGUAUGAUUUCAGUAACUCAAAAACUAAAAAGAACCUUGGAGUAUUGGCUUAUCCUAAUGUUUAAAAAAAAUUUUUUUUGGGGGGGUACUGGAGAUCAAACUCAGGACCUUGCAGUUGCAAGGCAGGUUGCGGUGCCACUGAGCUAAAUCCUCAGCCUAAAAAUUUUUAUUAGUACAC
This 1746-nucleotide long non-coding RNA is filed under the name Heterocephalus glaber (naked mole-rat). RNAcentral describes it as "lncRNA (ENSHGLG00100033487.1)". The record is from RNAcentral. Lineage: Eukaryota; Metazoa; Chordata; Mammalia; Rodentia; Bathyergidae.